CUCCUGGCCUCUGGGGCGGGACAAAAAAGGGGGGUCCCUCCCAGGUGCUGAACGUCGGCAGGUUUUUCCAUGAUCUGAAGCUCAGAGUUCGAGCAUCUGUCCCCAGACAUAGCUCGAAGGUUGAGCUCAUCCCUCGCCCAACACAACCCUCUGCUUAGGACAGUGGAGCUGGGGCGAGCGUCCCGCAAUGUUGGUCCCCCGUCCUGUCAAUCAGGAAGGACUUCCCGGAGGAAGGGAUGGCGGCGGAGCGGGGGAAUGGGGGGAUGACUUUGAACUUUGAUCUUCUGGCCUCCACCACCGCAGUGCUUGGGCUCCAGGUGUAUGGUACCACACGCGGUUUAAAUUUAAUCAGAUACAAGCCCCCGCUGGACUGAGAUCGCCCUUCCAGAGGCCCCCAGCCCACUUUACAGAGCAGAGAAUCGAGUCCGGCGAGGUCAAAAAGGCUGAUCUAAAAGAAACGGGGUUCUAAUCAAUGUAUCUACGUGUAAACCGAGCCUCUUGCAUGCAGGAGAUACAAUGCAGGGCAUAAAUGAACAGGUCCUCGGCUUCCUGGGGGCUUAUAGUCUAGAGACGUGUGAAAUUUCAUCUGCAACUGUUUGCUCAGUGUGUCAUCCCAUCCCAAAUCAAAUGACGGAUGUUGGAUGUCACAGAAAUGACAGGAGUGGUACAGCAACCAGCAGCAGGCUCCUGGCAGAGGCCUCUGUGUGUCUGGGAUGAUGGGGACCCUUCAGCCUUCAGAAACAACUCUACCUGGCCCAGACAGAAGAUUCUGGGAUCAAUGGCAUCACAGAGCUUUGGGAGAGCAUGGAGUUCAUGGAGGCAGCUCCCAGCAUACAGUAGGUGCAGGCAAGCAGUGAUGUCCUUCCUUCCCGUUUGGCAAGGUUGUGACUCAAUGAUCUUCCAGUCAGAGGAAAAGCUGGACAAAGCCGAGCCUGUCACACACAGGCAUGGAGUGACCCCCAAGGCUCCAGAUCUCUG
This 978-nucleotide long non-coding RNA is filed under the name Cricetulus griseus (Chinese hamster). RNAcentral describes it as "lncRNA (ENSCGRG00015039035.1)". Lineage: Eukaryota; Metazoa; Chordata; Mammalia; Rodentia; Cricetidae. The record is from RNAcentral.